AGAGUUUGAUCAUGGCUCAGAAUCAACGCUGGCGGCGCGCCUAACACAUGCAAGUCGCACGAGAAAGCGGGAGCAAUCUCGCAAGUACAGUGGCGUACGGGUGAGUAACACGUGGAUCAUCUGCCCUGGAGUGGGGAAUAACGCUGGGAAACCGGCGCUAAUACCGCAUAUUCCCGAGAGGGGAAAGCAGCAAUGCGCUCGAGGAGGAGUCCGCGGCCGAUUAGCUAGUUGGCAGGGUAAAAGCCUACCAAGGCUGUGAUCGGUAGCCGGCCUGAGAGGGCACACGGCCACACUGGCACUGAAACACGGGCCAGACUCCUACGGGAGGCAGCAGUGGGGAAUCUUGCACAAUGGGGGAAACCCUGAUGCAGCGACGCCGCGUGAGCGAUGAAGCCCUUCGGGGUGUAAAGCUCUUUCGGCAGGGAAGAUUAUGACGGUACCUGCAGAAGCAGCUGCGGCUAACUACGUGCCAGCAGCCGCGGUAAUACGUAGGCAGCAAGCGUUGUUCGGAGUUACUGGGCGUAAAGGGUGUGUAGGCGGCCUGUUAAGUUCCGUGUGAAAUCUCCCGGCUCAACCGGGAGGGUGCGCGGAAAACUGGCGGGCUAGAGUGCGGGAUGGGAGAGUAGAAUUCCUGGUGUAGCGGUGAAAUGCGUAGAUAUCAGGAGGAAUACCGGUGGUGUAGACGGCUCUCUGGACCGCAACUGACGCUGAAACACGAAAGCGUGGGUAGCAAACAGGAUUAGAUACCCUAGUAGUCC
RNAcentral lists this ribosomal RNA (758 nucleotides) under uncultured bacterium. Its description in RNAcentral is "bacterial SSU rRNA". It matches the Rfam family "Bacterial small subunit ribosomal RNA", at positions 8 to 796 of the family's 1533-position model. The record is from RNAcentral.